This is a long non-coding RNA of Trifolium pratense (red clover), 1982 nucleotides long. RefSeq lists it as uncharacterized. The transcript is spliced from 6 exons. The record is from RefSeq and is a predicted model, not a curated record. NCBI's taxonomy places the organism in Eukaryota, Viridiplantae, Streptophyta, Magnoliopsida, Fabales, Fabaceae.
UCUUUUCCUUCCCUAUUUCAGCAAUGAGCAAUAAUAUAUCAUUUGAUAUAUUUUUGCUUUUCUUUCUCAAAUACACAAAAAGAAGUGACAAAAAAAUACAGAAAAAGAAGAAAACAACCCUAAUCCUUAUCCCUCUUUUCACUAAAACCCUUUUCCUCUUUCUCUUUUCACGCAUCAUACCUUCACCCUCCCUUCUUCUGCGAGCGAAACCCUCACCCUCACCUCAGCGCUGCGCCAUUCUUUCACCACUUCCCCAAUCGUUACGUUGUUGAGCUAAGUGUACGUUUCAGAGCCGUCAUCUUCUCAUUCUAUCGAUUCUGUAAGUUUACAAAUUUGGUUCAAUUUCUCUUUUGAUUAUAGUCUUCUCCUCAUUCUUUAAUGGAUUCUGAUUCCAAUUUCAAUUUUUCAUCCAAACCCUAAUAUUCAUAUGAACCCUAAAUAUGAAUUAGUUCUCUCUUGUUACAAAUUUCAAUUUUUCAUUGUUUAUUGUUCAAAUUUCAUUCUCAAUUUACAAUAGAUUUAUCUUAUAAAAAAUUGAAAUGCAUAAUACUCUAAAUUUUUACCAAUAAACUUCAAGGGAUUGUUUCAUAAUUUAUUCUGCUUCUUAAUGGGUUUUACCAUUUUUUGUCAUUGUUCCCUUUGUCUUGUGUUUGACUUGACUGAUAUGUUGAUUUUAGGCACAUUAUUGGGUAGUUAGAGAAUGGUAAAUUUUUUAUAGCAGUUACAAUCGUAGCAAGCCACUUACUUUCACAUUGUUGAUGUUUGAUAUAACAAGAACAAGAAGCAAGUAAAACAGGAUGAUACGUCUCAAUUUCGGACUCAGUUUGGAUUCUCUAGUCCUUUGCAUUGUCGAAUUGACAACAAACGAUAAAGUUUCUUCAGUGGAAGCCAUUCUCACAAUGUUUAACUUCAAUGCAUUAGGAAGAGUUUAAGAAAAUGAAUCACACUAAGUGAAUUGCAAAUUUGGCUUUAGUUGGUUUGCUUAUCUUAUUGCUUCAGGCCGAAGCAGUGCUUCAGUGAUGUUGCUGUCAUCUUUUUUUUUUUUGAAGUGUUUAGUGGUUUCUAGUUCUGUUUUUAGGAGGGCAUCAUGGAGAUAAAGAACUUUCAAUUUCCUUCGCCGGUGACAAAAAUUUCAAUUCUUGAGUGCGCUUUAUUUCUCUGAGAGGUGGAUGUAGCUCAUUCUGUAGCAGUCAAUACUUGUGCGCUUUUAUAUUGAUUAAAUUUAACUUUUAAGGUAAUAGAAAAUUGAAGCGAAAGGUUCUUACAACUUUUUAAUGUGUGUGUGCGCGUGUUGAAAAAAAUCUUGCAUAUGUUCCACCAGUUUGACACUACUGUCACCAGUUUGACAUCUCAUCAUUAACUGUCACCAGAACCAUUAAUUGUAGCUCCUCUUUUACUUAUGCACGCAUGUAGUCAUUUUUAAACCUUGUGCAUAAGUAGUUUAACUCUGCUUUUCAUUAUUGAGUUUUCCUAUCAAAAUGUAUGCUAGUGUUUAGAACAUAGUUGGCUUAUAGAUAAGUAGCAAUAUUUUAUAAGGUUGCUCUAUCCUCUAUGACUUUUUUUUUUCUUCUUCCGAGUUGACUAGUUUUUUUCAAUUGCUUGAAUUUGGCGAUGUGACACUCACCUUUUAGACUUUUAGUCUUGCUUUGUUCAUGUGUGAUUUUUCUAUCAAAAUUCUUAAAUUUGAUGGUAUAAGUUAGGUCUAUUUUGAUGGGUUAUAUAUUUUGUGGGUUAUGUAUUUUGUGGGAUAUUUUGGUGGGUUAUAUAUUAGUGAGUUAUAUUUUGAUUGAUGGUAAGUUAGGACUAUUUUAAUGGAUUAUAUAUUUUGCGGGAUAUUUUGGUGGAUGUAGACAUUUUUUGUUGAAAUUAUAUAUGGUUAUAUAUUAGAAAUAGAAGGUCUAGUAAAGAACUACUUAAUUUGUAUUUUAGAUGUACUAAUACUAAUUGUUUGUUGAUUUUCCAUCAGCUACAAAGCUAUAUUU